RNAcentral lists this ribosomal RNA (2025 nucleotides) under human gut metagenome. RNAcentral's name for it is "bacterial LSU rRNA". It matches the Rfam family "Bacterial large subunit ribosomal RNA", at positions 1 to 1973 of the family's 2925-position model. The record is from RNAcentral.
GGAAGAUAUCUAGGGCGCACGGCGGAUGCCUUGGCACAUGGAGCCGAUGAAGGACGCGGCAAGCUGCGAUAAUCCGCGGUUAGGGGCACACACCCUUCGACCCGCGGGUCUCCGAAUGGGCGAACCCGCCAGGAGAAGUCCUGGCACCCCUCAGCUGAACACAUAGGCCGAGGGGGGACAACCCGGGGAACUGAAACAUCUAAGUACCCGGAGGAGAAGAAAUCAACCUCGAGAUUCCCCGAGUAGCGGCGAGCGAAAGGGGACCUAGGCCAAACCGUGGAGCGGGCGGGCGCCAGCCCUUACCGCCCACGGGGUUGUAGGGCCUCCCGCCCGGGAGCUGGCGCUCCCGGCGGGCAUCCAUCCAGGGGAGCCGAACGGCAUGGGAAGGCCGGCGGCACAGGGUUAGGGCCCCGUAGGCGCACCCUGGGAUGGAGCCCGGUGGAGGUACCUGAGUAGGGCCGGGCACGUGAAACCCGGUCCGAACCCGGGGGGACCACCCUCCAAGCCUGAAUACUCCCAUGUGACCGAUAGCGCACCAGUACCGUGAGGGAAAGGUGAAAAGCACCCCGGGAGGGGAGUGAAACAGUACCUGAAACCGUGCGCCCGCAAGGCGUCGGAGCGGGCUUCGUCCCGUGACGGCGUGCCUUUUGUAGAAUGAGCCAGCGAGUUGCUGGCACGCGGCGAGGUUAAGCUGGGAAGCGAGCCGGAGCGAAAGCGAGUCCGAAACGGGCGAUUCCAGUCGCGUGCCGCAGACGCGAAGCCGGGUGAGCUAUCCCUGGGCAGGCUGAAGCGGGGGUAAGACCCCGUGGAGGGCCGAACGGACGUACGUUGAAAAGUGCGCCGAUGACCUGGGGAUAGGGGUGAAAGGCCUAUCAAACCCGGAGAUAUCUCGUUCUCCCCGAAAUAGCUUUAGGGCUAGCGUCGAGAGUUAACCGCCGGAGGUAGAGCACCGGAUCGAUGAGGGGGCUUCGCCGCCUACCGAUUCGAACCGAACUCCGAAUGCCGUUCGGUCCAUAUCUCGGCAGUCAGAGCAUGUGGGCUAAGCUGUGUGCUCGAGAGGGAAACAGCCCAGACCGCCCGCUAAGGCCCCCAAUUCUCAGUUAAGUGGCAAAGGAUGUGCGUCCGCGCAGACAACCAGGAGGUUGGCUUAGAAGCAGCCACCCCUUCAAAGAGUGCGUAACAGCUCACUGGUCGAGUGGACAUGCGCCGACAAUACACGGGGCUAAACUGAGAGCCGAAGCGGCGGCAAUGAGAAUUCAUUGGGUAGGGGAGCGUCCCCAGCGGGGCGAAGCCGGAGGGUCACCGACGGUGGACUGCUGGGGAGUGAGAAUGCUGGCAUGAGUAGCGAGAGACGAGAGAGUAACUCGUCCGCCGUAAACCCGAGGUUUCCUGGGCGAGGCUAAUCCUCCCAGGGUCAGUCGGGGGCUAAGCCGAGGGCGGAAGCCGUAGGCGACGCGCAGCAGGUGGACAUUCCUGCACCGGAGAUGCACCGUCACGACCGACGGGGCGACGGAUUGGGGUGGCUCGGCGGGGUUCUGGACGUCCCCGUGAUGGAGCGCGGCCCGGAGACCAGGCAAAUCCGGUCUCCGCGAGGGCGAGGCUCCGGACGAAGCGCUUGAGCGAAGCGAGUGAGCCCGUGGUCCCCAGAAAAACCCCUAGGCAGGGGCAUCUCCGCCCGUACCGCAAACCGACACAGGUGGGUGGGUAGAACAUACCGAGGCGAUCGGGUCAACCAUGGUCAAGGAACUCGGCAAAAUGGCCCCGUAACUUCGGGAGAAGGGGCGCCGGCGCGUACGUGGACCCACUUGCUGGGCGAGCGGAGGCCGGCCGCAGUGAAGAGGCCCAAUCGACUGUUUACCAAAAACACAGGACUCUGCAGAAGGCGAGAGCCGACGUAUAGGGUCUGACGCCUGCCCGGUGCCGGAAGGUCACGCGGAGGGGUCAGCGAAAGCGAAGCCCCGAAGCCAAGCCCCGGUAAACGGCGGCCGUAACUAUAACGGUCCUAAGGUAGCGAAAUUCCUUGUC